This 772-nucleotide ribosomal RNA is filed under the name uncultured bacterium. RNAcentral's name for it is "bacterial SSU rRNA". It matches the Rfam family "Bacterial small subunit ribosomal RNA", at positions 10 to 793 of the family's 1533-position model. The record is from RNAcentral.
AGUUUGAUCCUGGCUCAGAUCUANCGCUUGUGGGGGCCUAACACAUGCAAGUCGAACGAGGCUUUCCGGUGCUUGCACUGGAAAAUCGAGUGGCGAACGGGUGAGUAAUACAUGAGAAACCUGCCUUGGAGACGGGGACAACCUCGGGAAACUGAGGCUAAUACCCGAUAUCCCUGCCGAGUCGCAUGACUUGGCAAGAAAAUACUCAGGUGCUCCAAGAGGGUCUCAUGCCCUAUCAGCUUGUUGGUGAGGUAAAAGCUCACCAAGGCUUAGACGGGUAGCUGGUCUGAGAGGACGAUCAGCCACACUGGGACUGAGACACGGCCCAGACUCCUACGGGAGGCAGCAGUGGGGAAUCUUGCGCAAUGGGCGGAAGCCUGACGCAGCCACGCCACGUGUGGGACGACGGCCCUCGGGUUGUAAACCACUUUCAGCAGGGACGAAAAUGACGGUACCUGCAGAAGAAGCCCCGGCCAACUACGUGCCAGCAGCCGCGGUAACACGUAGGGGGCGAGCGUUGUCCGGAAUUACUGGGCGUAAAGGGCUCGUAGGCGGUUUGGUAAGUCAGAUGUGAAAACUCCAGGCUCAACUUGGAGACGCCAUCUGAUACUGCCAUGACUAGAGUUUGGUAGAGGAGUGCAGAAUUCCCGGUGUAGCGGUGAAAUGCGCAGAUAUCGGGAGGAAUACCAGUCAGCGAAGGCGGCACUCUGGGCCACAACUGACGCUGAGGAGCGAAAGCGUGGGGAGCGAACAGGAUUAGAUACCCUGGUAG